CUUGCAACAUUUUAUAUGUGCAUACCCACUGGAAUUGAUGUUGGAUAUGUUUAUGGUGGACUGGUUGGGGAACAUCUUAACUGGCGCUAUGCAUUCUGGGGAGAGGCACUGUUAAUGUUACCAUUUGCUGUUUUUGGCUUUGUAGUGAAACCAUUGCAGUUGAAAGGUUUUUCUUGUGUUGAAUCAAAAAAAGAAUCAACACCCGUGGAGACAAUUUCUGUUG
Molecule: long non-coding RNA, 223 nt
Organism: Hibiscus syriacus
Lineage: Eukaryota; Viridiplantae; Streptophyta; Magnoliopsida; Malvales; Malvaceae
Exons: 3
Source: RefSeq, a predicted model, not a curated record